AUUGAACGCUGGCGGCAGGCCUAACACAUGCAAGUCGAACGGUAACAGGGAUCAGCUUGCUGGUUUGCUGACGAGUGGCGGACGGGAGAGUUAUGUCUGGGACACUGCGUGAUGGAUGAGGUUCGCUACUGGAAGCUGUAGCUAAUACCGCAUUAAGUCGCAAGACCAAAGAGGUUCACAUCCGGGGCUCUUGCCUGCGGCUAUGUCCGAAUGGGAUUAGCUAGUAGGUGGGGUAAAGGCUUACCUAGGCGACGAUCCCUAGCUGGUCUGAGAGGAUGACCAGCCACACUGGAACUGAGACACGGUCCAGACUCCUACGGGAGGCAGCAGUGGGGAAUAUUGCACAAUGGGCGCAAGCCUGAUGCAGCCAUGCCGCGUGUAUGAAGAAGGUCUUCGGGUUGUAAAGUACUUUCAGCUGGGAGGAAGGGAGGAAAGUUAAUACCUUUGCGCAUUGACGUUACCAGCAGAAGAAGCACCGGCUAACUCCGUG
Molecule: ribosomal RNA, 490 nt
Filed under: uncultured bacterium
Lineage: Bacteria
Description: partial 16S ribosomal RNA
Rfam family: Bacterial small subunit ribosomal RNA
Source: RNAcentral